ACGCUCGACACCUACGGGAGACAGCAGUGGGGAAUAUUGCACAAUGGGGGAAACCCUGAUGCAGCGGCGCCGCGUGGAGGAAGAAGGUCUUCGGAUUGUAAACUCCUGUUGUUGGGGAAAAAGAGGAUGGUACCCAACAAGGAAGUGACGGCUAACUACGUCNNNNCGCGUAGUAUGNGCGGCGUGNGAGAG
Molecule: ribosomal RNA, 192 nt
Filed under: uncultured bacterium
Lineage: Bacteria
Description: partial 16S ribosomal RNA
Rfam family: Bacterial small subunit ribosomal RNA
Source: RNAcentral